RNAcentral lists this ribosomal RNA (372 nucleotides) under uncultured bacterium. RNAcentral describes it as "bacterial SSU rRNA". It matches the Rfam family "Bacterial small subunit ribosomal RNA", at positions 523 to 897 of the family's 1533-position model. The record is from RNAcentral.
AUACGGAGGAUCCGAGCGUUAUCCGGGUUUAUUGGGUUUAAAGGGAGCGUAGGCGGGUGUUUAAGUCAGUUGUGAAAGAUUGAGGCUCAACCGUGGAAUUGCAGUUGAUACUGGUCUUCUUGAGUGCGUUAAAUGUAGGCGGAAUUCGUUGUGUAGCGGUGAAAUGCUUAGAUAUCACGAAGAACUCCAAUUGCGAAGGCAGCUCACAGGACUGUAACUGACGCUGAGGCUCGAAAGUGUGGGUAUCAAACAGGAUUAGAUACCCUGGUAGUCCACGCAGUAAACGAUGAAUACUCGCUGUUUGCGAUAUACAGUAGGCGGCCAAGCGAAAGCGUUAAGUAUUCCACCUGGGGAGUACGCCGGCAAGGGUGA